RNAcentral lists this long non-coding RNA (3872 nucleotides) under Taeniopygia guttata (zebra finch). RNAcentral's name for it is "lncRNA (ENSTGUG00000025834.1)". Lineage: Eukaryota; Metazoa; Chordata; Aves; Passeriformes; Estrildidae. The record is from RNAcentral.
UUUUUCUUUUUUUUUAAGAAGUCCAUGCUCUCAUUCUUUGAAUUUAGCUUUGAAGUCAUUAGACUAAAAAUAGGUGUGAGACCUGGGCACGGGGAUCCUCUGUGGCUGCUCCCGUGCCCGAGCCGGGCUGCUGCCCUGCCCCAGCUGGCCCGCAGCCGCAGGGCCUCCCCAAAUCCCCAGAGCAUCGCCCUGCUCGAGCAGCGCGGCCGUGCCCAGAGCUGCAGAGGGCAGCUGGAGCCGUCCCCGCACAGCACCGCCCCGGAGCGGAGCCCAGAACGAGCGGAGCAAAGGCGAGCUUGUGCCUGGGGAGCCGGGGCACUGCCGCCUGUGCCAUGCCACACGCAACCCUCCCUGCCCGCAGCUCUCAUCCCCAUUGUCUUCAUCAUUCCAUCGUGUUCCACAGCCCCGGGAGCUGCUGCUUGUCACAGUGGUGGUCUGAGCCACCACUCUCAGGAGAGCGGGAUACCGGGGCACCAGGGCUUGGAGUCCCAGUGCUACAAAUCCAGGCUCAAAUACCCACAGAGCUUGGAAAGCUUGGACACAUUUUCAGCUUCAGAUCUGAUCAAAGCUUUACUUUUUUUGGGGACAGUAUCCCAGAGCCCCGCUCUGUGGCAGGCGAUGAGUUUAGCAGACAUUGAGCCCAGGCUAUUCUUUGUAAGCCUGGUCAUUGUUUUGAGGUGUUUAGUUUGUGGUUUCAGCCUCUCGGGGUCAGCAAACCAGGGGUUACAGCCACAGGGGCUCAGUGGUGGGUGUGUGGUGUAAGGGAUGCUCAGUGAUAAGUUCAUGUUUGAGGGUUUGAGAUGCCAGCUCAAUUUUAUUUUUUUUUUUUUAUUAUUUCAUUCUCCUUGCUAUAAUACUUCAGCAAACACGUUUGUGGCUGCCUGCAAACCCCUCUGCUCUCACCUUGCCCAUCACCACCACCAGGACCGGGAGUGCUGCUCCUAAUCCUGCCCAGACUGAUCUCACUUUUCAAGUGCUCGGCACUUCUUCCCCCCAAUUCCAAAACAAACCCAUCUAAACAGGAUGUUGGGAAGGGUGUCCAGGUGCACCUGGAAAGCCUUGGAGCCAGCCCAAAAUGUCUUGCGUCAGGCCCUGGUACAUCUCACCCUUCUUUGAUCUUGAAAUCCAGUUCUCCAGAGCCAAAUCAUCUCUCUCUGCUCCCAGUGAGCUCCCUCAAGGUGGAUCUCAGCAAGACCUGGAGCAGUGGAGCCCAUCCCAGGGACAGUUUGGAUGAGGACUGGAAUGUGCAGGACUGGAAUGCCAGUCCUGCACAGGCCAACAUUUUGGUUUGUUUCUGUUAAAAGCUUUAAGGGAUUUGAGUUCCACCAUGAGAGACACAGCCACAACCACCCCUCCUGCUGCCUCUGAGGGUUUACUUCCAUGGAGAGACUCUGGCAGAUCCCCCACAGGACUGCACUGGCUGGGAGCAAGUCCUGGGGAAUUUCAGCCCCUUACACAGCUCUGAGUGGGGGUUGUGGCUGCAAGAAGAGAUGGCUGGAAAGUUACACCCAGCUCACAAAGAACUUGGAAGGAAGAAGAUGAAAGGAGUCACAUAGUCAGUCUGGACUCAUAGAGCACCUGGGGAUCCAGAAUUUGCCACAGGCUGGAAGCAGUGGUUCUGUGUUUGCUGGCAAACAGAGCCAUCAUCGCACCCUCCUCCUCCUCAAGUGGCAUCUGCUUCCACUGGUGGUAUCACAGAUGUGUGGGAGCUGCCUGGCCAUGGCUGUUCCCUUCCCUGUGCAAGCUGGAGAGGCUCCAGAGGACACCCCACUGCAGCAUCCCACCUGGGCAUCCCACCUGGGCAUCCCACCUGGGCAUCCCAGCCAGCCUCACACUGGCACUGCUCUGGGCUCCUGGGUGCACCCUGCAGCAGUCACCCUCUGCCCCAGGUGCCUCAGCCCCGCCUCACAGCAGAGCCAAAGGGCAGCUGUCCUGCCCCAGCACUGUCCUGCCCCAGCACUGUCCUGGGGAACGGGGCUCCCGGGGAUGCCCGUGAGUGGUGCCCAAACCCAGCAGCUGAGCUGUUGGCAGGGGAGCUGGUGGUGCACAGACAGCUCUGUGUGCCUCGGAGCAGGAAGGUGCCCUGGCUAGGCAGUAGUGCUGGGGCUGCCUUACCACAGUCUGGGGCUGAGAGACACCUUUCACCCUUUCCAGGGGAACCAAAGCAAAAAUGAAUAAACCUGUCAAUCUCACUCAACCGCCAGUUUUCAUCUCCUUUGCCCGGAGCUGCAGCCAGGCCCAGCUGUGAGACCUGCACCCUCCAGAGGCUUCUGUGCCCCUGGCAGGAGCUCAUGAGGGAGGAAAGAUGGCUCAAAGACUGUGCAAGGCACCUUCUUCCCAAAGUCAUGCCUCAGUAUAACCUGCAUUGCACCAACAGCCCCAUCAGGGGCGGCUCUUCCAGUGCAGGGAGAACAUUCCCUAGCCUAGGGACACUCACCCCCAGUGAGAGCCUCUCCAAGGCUUUCUGCACAUACCAACCCAUCCCAGCAAUGUGUUCAGCUGCUGAGACAGCCCUGGGUGCUGUCUGACAGGUCCACCCCAGUCCCCUUUCAACUCUAAAGAGGAUUCAAGGGAAAAAUGCAAGUUUUUUGGCACCAAAGGGAAGGGUUAAGAAUUGUUGCUGCCAGAUUGAGAGCAGUUGCAAAAGGGAAACAUAAAAAUAAAAAUAUGCAUCCCUAAAAUAAAGCUGACAUUCAUUUGUUAUCUUGGCUGACACGUGGGGCUGCUCCCACUGCCUGGGUUUGGCUGCAGCGGGUGGAGCUCCCACAGAGCCCGGCUGUGCUCGGGAUAUCUCCGGUCCUCAGCAGGACCAUGGGCACCCCCUUCCCACUUCUUUUGUGGAGACUGAAGCCAUGAGCCUUUCAGAAGAGCAGUGACAGAGGGACAGCUGGAGAGGGACUGUUUUUCCUGGCAGCUUCAGGAUACCAGCAGGGCUGCUGGAAGAAUGGAGGCACCACAGCAAGUGGGGUGAGGUGGCUGGUGACAGGGACAUUCCCUGCUCUGCCCUCUCUGCUCUCCCACUGCCAUGGCUGGUGUGGCAGGGGAGGGCUUGCCCAGGGGACAGGAUUUUGGGCUGGGACAUGCACCUGAGGUCACACACAUUCCAUCAGCUGCAGCUAUGCUGAGUCCCCAGCUGAGGGGAGCUGCUGGGGUCCAGCUGUCACCAGUGGAAGAAGUGACCCAAACCUGGCACAACCCUGUGCUGUGCUGCACCUGGGCCCCCUAAAAACACACGUUUCACCUUCCUACACAAGCCCAUACAGGCUAAAAACCACAUUUAGUUUUGCUGCUUUUCCAGGUGUCAGCUGAGUCUAGAAAUUCCCAGGAAAGAGGAGCAAAGAGGCCCCGGACAGCUCACAGCACUAGUGCAGGUCUCUUUACCCAGCCAGAAGCAGAGAAGAUGGCACAGCCUGGGACAUCCAUCCCUACCAAAAAAUCACCGUUCCCUGCACUUCAAAAACACAUUCAUGUGCCCAGGGAGGUGUGGGAACAGCCAAGCCCAGUACCUGGCUCCCCUCCAAAGCUGUCAGCAAAAUAAUGAGUAACUCUGAGACAGCUGGGCUGAAUUCCUGGCUAAUCAACUAAUUUAUUUACUCCUCUGAUAGUUAUUUGUUGUGCUGGGACACAAAUGGAAAUUUUAACAACUUUUUUUCCCUAUCUGUGCAUGGAAAACUGUCUUCCCAAGGAGGGACAAGGGACAGGAUGCCAGGCACAGGGUGGGCAUUGGAAGCAGACCUUUGGGAAUAUGGAAAUGACCAAAGACUGUCUUACCCAGCACUCCCUCCCAGGGGGUUGCUCUAAUCUUGGUUUAGGAAGCUCAAAAUGGACAAUUUUGGAAUAUUUUUCCAAAUAAAUGCAAGUUUCCAAUGGGC